Molecule: ribosomal RNA, 253 nt
Filed under: uncultured bacterium
Lineage: Bacteria
Description: partial 16S ribosomal RNA
Rfam family: Bacterial small subunit ribosomal RNA
Source: RNAcentral
UACGUAGGUGACAAGCGUUGUCCGGAUUUACUGGGCGUAAAGAGCGCGCAGGCGGUCGAUCAAGUCGAGUGUGAAAGCCCCCGGCUCAACUGGGGAGGGUCAUUCGAAACUGAUCGACUCGAAGGCAGGAGAGGGUAGUGGAAUUCCCGGUGUAGUGGUGAAAUGCGUAGAUAUCGGGAGGAACACCAGUGGCGAAGGCGACUACCUGGCCUGUUCUUGACGCUGAGGCGCGAAAGCUAGGGGAGCAAACGGG